RNAcentral lists this ribosomal RNA (497 nucleotides) under uncultured bacterium. RNAcentral's name for it is "partial 16S ribosomal RNA". It matches the Rfam family "Bacterial small subunit ribosomal RNA", at positions 28 to 507 of the family's 1533-position model. The record is from RNAcentral.
GAUGAACGCUGGCGGCGUGCCUAAUACAUGCAAGUCGAGCGAACGGGCGAGAAGCUUGCUUCUCUGAUGUUAGCGGCGGACGGGUGAGUAACACGUGGAUAACCUACCUAUAAGACUGGGAUAACUUCGGGAAACCGGAGCUAAUACCGGAUGAUGUUUUGAACCGCAUGGUUCAAAAGUGAAAGACGGUCUUGCUGUCACUUAUAGAUGGAUCCGCGCUGCAUUAGCUAGUUGGUAAGGUAACGGCUUACCAAGGCAACGAUGCAUAGCCGACCUGAGAGGGUGAUCGGCCACACUGGAACUGAGACACGGUCCAGACUCCUACGGGAGGCAGCAGUAGGGAAUCUUCCGCAAUGGGCGAAAGCCUGACGGAGCAACGCCGCGUGAGUGAUGAAGGUCUUCGGAUCGUAAAACUCUGUUAUUAGGGAAGAACAUAUGUGUAAGUAACUGUGCACAUCUUGACGGUACCUAAUCAGAAAGCCACGGCUAACUACGUG